AGCAGCCGCGGUAAUUCCAGCUCCAAUAGCGUAUAUUAAAGUUGUUGCAGUUAAAAAGCUCGUAGUUGAAUUUCGGGGUCAGUAGAUCGGUCAUGCCACUGGUAUGUACUGGUCUCACUGAUUCCUCCUUCCUGAUGAGCCGUAAUGCCAUUAAUUUGGUGUUGCGAGGAAUCUGGACUGUUACUUUGAAAAAAUUAGAGUGUUUAAAGCAGGCUAACGCUUGAAUACAUUAGCAUGGAAUAAUGAAAUAGGACGUUCGAUCUUAUUUUGUUGGUUUCUAAGAUUGACGUAAUGAUUAAUAGGGAUAGUUGGGGGCAUUAGUAUUCAAUUGUCAGAGGUGAAAUUCUUGGAUUUAUUGAAGACUAACUACUGCGAAAGCAUUUGCCAAGGAUGUUUUCAUUAAUCAAGAACGAAAGUUAGGGGAUCGAAGACGAUCAGAUACCGUCGUAGUCUUAACCAUAAACUAUGUCGACUAGGGAUCGGAUGAUGUUAAUUUUUAAUGACUC
RNAcentral lists this ribosomal RNA (506 nucleotides) under Glomus sp. Glo10. Its description in RNAcentral is "SSU rRNA". It matches the Rfam family "Eukaryotic small subunit ribosomal RNA", at positions 569 to 1077 of the family's 1831-position model. Lineage: Eukaryota; Fungi; Glomeromycota; Glomeromycetes; Glomerales; Glomeraceae. The record is from RNAcentral.